Long non-coding RNA from Corticium candelabrum, 231 nucleotides. RefSeq lists it as uncharacterized. The transcript is spliced from 3 exons. Lineage: Eukaryota; Metazoa; Porifera; Homoscleromorpha; Homosclerophorida; Plakinidae. The record is from RefSeq and is a predicted model, not a curated record.
CCAGCACGUGCAGGUCGGGCAAGCAAGGUAUGAGAGUUAUCGAGUCGCUCGUUGUCGUUACUCUUCUGGCUAGCAAAAUCACUGCUAGUACAGAUGGAGAUGCAAGCAGUGAAGUGUGCGCUGGAGAGAAAGGCGACAAGGGGGAGACAGGCCAUCCGGGAUCUUCUGGACUAAGAGGAUACAAAGGAGAGAAAGGUGAAACUGGAGGUUCUGGUAAUAAUGGAGUUAAGG